UCGGUCGUGGUGUGGUACGCCCCGCGGCGCUGCGACCGCCCGGCGGUCUUGCAGGCGAUCAGCGACGCUCAGCACGUCGCGGCCGAG
This 87-nucleotide transfer RNA is filed under the name Mycobacterium innocens. RNAcentral's name for it is "Mycobacterium sp. MK13 tRNA-Arg". The record is from RNAcentral. Lineage: Bacteria; Bacillati; Actinomycetota; Actinomycetes; Mycobacteriales; Mycobacteriaceae.